GAAAUGCGAUAAGUAAUGUGAAUUGCAGAAUUCAGUGAAUCAUCGAAUCUUUGAACGCACCUUGCGCCCUUUGGCUAUUCCGAAGGGCAUGCCUGUUUGAGUAUCAUGAACACCUCAACUCUCGUGGUCCGCCAUGAUGAGCUUGGACUUUGGGGGUCUUGCUGGCCUAGUGUCGGCUCCUCUCAAAUGGAUCAGCUUGCCAGUGUUUGGUGGCGUCGCAGGUGUGAUAACUAUCUACGCUUGUGGUUCUCUGCCAUGUAACCUUCAGUGAUGGAGGUUCGCUGGAGCUCACAGAUGUCUCUCCUGGGAGGACAGCUCUUUGAACGUUUGAUCUCAAAUCAGGUAGGACUACCCGCUGAACUUAA
Molecule: unclassified non-coding RNA, 365 nt
Filed under: uncultured Tomentella
Lineage: Eukaryota; Fungi; Basidiomycota; Agaricomycetes; Thelephorales; Thelephoraceae
Description: sequence contains ITS1
Rfam family: 5.8S ribosomal RNA (bases 1-106)
Source: RNAcentral